AGAGUUUGAUCCUGGCUCAGGAUGAACUCUAGUUACAGGCUUAACACAUGCAAGUCGAGGGGCAGCACGGGGGUAGCAAUACUCCGGGUGGCGACCGGCGCACGGGUGCGUAACGCGUAUCCAACCUUCCCAUUACUCUUGGAUAGCCUUCCGAAAGGGAGAUUAAUACAGGAUGGUAUCUGAAUUUCGCAUGUUGAUCAGAUUAAAGAUUUAUCGGUAAUGGAUGGGGAUGCGUGACAUUAGGUAGAUGGCGGGGUAACGGCCCACCAUGCCUACGAUGUCUAGGGGUUCUGAGAGGAAGGUCCCCCACACUGGAACUGAGACACGGUCCAGACUCCUACGGGAGGCAGCAGUGAGGAAUAUUGGUCAAUGGUCGGAAGACUGAACCAGCCAAGUAGCGUGAAGGAUGAAGGUUCUAUGGAUUGUAAACUUCUUUUAUACGGGAAUAAAACACGCCACGUGUGGUGUCUUGUAUGUACCGUAUGAAUAAGCAUCGGCUAACUCCGUGCCAGCAGCCGCGGUAAUACGGAGGAUGCGAGCGUUAUCCGGAUUUAUUGGGUUUAAAGGGUGCGUAGGCGGCCUAUCAAGUCGGUGGUGAAAUUUCGUGGCUUAACCACGUCACUGCCAUCGAAACUGAUAAGCUUGAGUGCGUUGGGGGUAGCUGGAAUGUGCGGUGUAGCGGUGAAAUGCAUAGAUAUCGUACAGAACGCCGAUCGCGAAGGCAGGUUACCACGCCGCAACUGACGCUGAGGCACGAAAGCGCGGGGAUCGAACAGGAUUAGAUACCCUGGUAGUCCGCGCCGUAAACGAUGG
This 813-nucleotide ribosomal RNA is filed under the name uncultured bacterium. RNAcentral's name for it is "bacterial SSU rRNA". It matches the Rfam family "Bacterial small subunit ribosomal RNA", at positions 8 to 812 of the family's 1533-position model. The record is from RNAcentral.